Lepisosteus oculatus (spotted gar) is the source of this 117-nucleotide ribosomal RNA. The record is from Ensembl. NCBI's taxonomy places the organism in Eukaryota, Metazoa, Chordata, Actinopteri, Semionotiformes, Lepisosteidae.
GGCUGCAGCCAUAUCACCCUGCAGCUCUCAACUGGCUACCCACUGAAGCUCAGCAGGGUUGAGCCUGGUCAGUACCUGGAUGUGAGACCUCCUGGGAAGCUAUGGUUGCUGCUGGAA